AGUUUGAGUGACAUUAGUUUGUAGAUCUUCCCUCUCCAUCGAAAGCAUUACAAAGAAGAGGUACUUUGUGAUGUUCUUGAUAUGGAUGUUUGUCGUAUUUUACUUAGUACGCCUAGGCAGUUUGAUAACGAUAUCAUUAUUUCGAGGACAUGAUAAUGUGAUGGUGUUUACAUUAAGGAACACAUAAAAUUGCUAUAGCUCAUGUUUUGCACUUCGAUAAGAAUCCAUGAGGAAAGAAAUCUAGUUUCUUGGUGAUGACGUAGAGUC
This 267-nucleotide long non-coding RNA is filed under the name Lathyrus oleraceus (garden pea). Its description in RNAcentral is "Pisum sativum (pea) long non-coding RNA (PSAT_LNC014995)". The record is from RNAcentral. Lineage: Eukaryota; Viridiplantae; Streptophyta; Magnoliopsida; Fabales; Fabaceae.